GCUAGAGUACUGCUGCAGCGUUUGGGAUCCCCGACGCGGAGUUGAAAACAACGGUUCAUACAGAGUGGAGAUGAUUCAACGCAGAGCGGCGAGAUGGACCCUAGCACGCUUUCAUCCACUGGCCAGUGUUACUGAAAUGCUAAAUGAACUUGGGUGGCGCUCUCUUGAGGAAAGACGCAUUGACGCUCGUCUAGUCCUCAUGUACAAAAUUGUGCAGGGCCUUGCGCCAGUCAGCUGUUCAAAUCUUCUUCGUCCUGCAUUAAGAAGAUCUCGAAAUACACAUGAACACUCAUUCCUACCUUUA
Molecule: non-coding RNA, 304 nt
Organism: Paramuricea clavata
Lineage: Eukaryota; Metazoa; Cnidaria; Anthozoa; Malacalcyonacea; Plexauridae
Source: the annotation of a GenBank genome assembly